GAAUUUGGUUUGGUUCCUAAGAAAAAAUUUCUAGUUUUUUUAUACUAUUUAUAAAAAAAAAUCAUAGUAGAAAAUUUAUUUUAUUUAAUAACAAAAAAUUAUUAAGAAUUAGAAAAUAAUCUAGCUAAAUUUGUGCCAGCAGCAGCGGUUAAACAAAUAGAAAAAUUCUUUUUUUAAGAAAUUUAAUAAAUUAAAUUAAAAUAUUGUUAAAAAUUAAGGUGAAAUUUUUUUUUAAAAAUUUAUGAAAAUAUAAUAAAAAUUCUUAAAUUAAACUAGGAUUAGAUACCCUAUUAUUUAAGAGCCUAAUGUUGUUAGUAAAUAAAAAUUAUGAAAGCAAAAAAUUAUGGCGGUAUUUUAAGCUUUUCAGAGGAAUUUGCUCUUUAAUGGAUAAAACACCUAAAUCUUACUUGAAUUUGUUAAAUCAAUUUGUAUACCACUAUAAAAACAAUUAAUAACUUUAAUUGUUAAAAUUUAUUGAAUUAAAUUAUGUUAAGUCAAGGUGCAGUAAAAAUUUAAGAAUGAAGUGAAUUACAUUUCUUUUCAGAAAUAAAAAAUUAAAUUUACAUAUAGGAUUUGAAAGUAAAAUUAAAAUAGAAUGUUAAUUUGAAUAAAGCUCUAAAAUAUGUACAUAUCGCCCGUCACUCUUUUACAAGAUAAGUCGUAACAAAGUUAAAGUACUGGAAAGUGCUUU
This 691-nucleotide non-coding RNA is filed under the name Rhipicephalus simus. The record is from RNAcentral. Lineage: Eukaryota; Metazoa; Arthropoda; Arachnida; Ixodida; Ixodidae.